UGCUCUUUGCAAGAGUGGGAAAGUAGGGUGAUGCGGGGGAUUGUUAAAAAA
This 51-nucleotide ribosomal RNA is filed under the name Helicobacter suis HS1. The record is from RNAcentral. Lineage: Bacteria; Pseudomonadati; Campylobacterota; Epsilonproteobacteria; Campylobacterales; Helicobacteraceae.